GACGAACGCUGGCGGCGUGCUUAACACAUGCAAGUCGAACGGAAAGGCCCUGCUUUUGUGGGGUGCUCGAGUGGCGAACGGGUGAGUAACACGUGAGUAACCUGCCCUUGACUUUGGGAUAACUUCAGGAAACUGGGACUAAUACCGGAUAGGAGCUCCUGCUGCAUGGUGGGGGUUGGAAAGUUUCGGCGGUUGGGGAUGGACUCGCGGCUUAUCAGCUUGUUGGUGGGGUAGUGGCUUACCAAGGCUUUGACGGGUAGCCGGCCUGAGAGGGUGACCGGCCACAUUGGGACUGAGAUACGGCCCAGACUCCUACGGGAGGCAGCAGUGGGGAAUAUUGCACAAUGGGCGGAAGCCUGAUGCAGCAACGCCGCGUGCGGGAUGACGGCCUUCGGGUUGUAAACCGCUUUCGCCUGUGACGAAGCGUGAGUGACGGUAAUGGGUAAAGAAGCACCGGCUAACUACGUGCCAGCAGCCGCGGUGAUACGUAGGGUGCGAGCGUUGUCCGGAUUUAUUGGGCGUAAAGGGCUCGUAGGUGGUUGAUCGCGUCGGAAGUGUAAUCUUGGGGCUUAACCCUGAGCGUGCUUUCGAUACGGGUUGACUUGAGGAAGGUAGGGGAGAAUGGAAUUCCUGGUGGAGCGGUGGAAUGCGCAGAUAUCAGGAGGAACACCAGUGGCGAAGGCGGUUCUCUGGGCCUUUCCUGACGCUGAGGAGCGAAAGCGUGGGGAGCGAACAGGCUUAGAUACCCUGGUAGUCCACGCUGUAAACGGUGGGUACUAGGUGUGGGGUCCAUUCCACGGGUUCCGUGCCGUAGCUAACGCUUUAAGUACCCCGCCUGGGGAGUACGGCCGCAAGGCUAAAACUCAAAGGAAUUGACGGGGCCCCGCACAAGCGGCGGAGCAUGCGGAUUAAUUCGAUGCAACGCGUAGAACCUUACCUGGGUUUGACAUGGAUCGGGAGUGCUCAGAGAUGGGUGUGCCUCUUUUGGGGUCGGUUCACAGGUGGUGCAUGCCUGUCGUCAGCUCGUGUCGUGAGAUGUUGGGUUAAGUCCCGCAACGAGCGCAACCCUUGUUCACUGUUGCCAGCACGUUAUGGUGGGGACUCAGUGGAGACCGCCGGGGUCAACUCGGAGGAAGGUGGGGAUGACGUCAAGUCAUCAUGCCCCUUAUGUCCAGGGCUUCACGCAUGCUACAAUGGCUGGUACAGAGAGUGGCGAGCCUGUGAGGGUGAGCGAAUCUCGGAAAGCCGGUCUCAGUUCGGAUUGGGGUCUGCAGCUCGACCUCAUGAAGUCGGAGUCGCUAGUAAUCGCAGAUCAGCAACGCUGCGGUGAAUACGUUCCCGGGGCU
This 1346-nucleotide ribosomal RNA is filed under the name uncultured bacterium. RNAcentral describes it as "partial 16S ribosomal RNA". It matches the Rfam family "Bacterial small subunit ribosomal RNA", at positions 28 to 1381 of the family's 1533-position model. The record is from RNAcentral.